AUUGAACGCUGGCGGCAGGCCUAACACAUGCAAGUCGAGCGGAUGAGAGGAGCUUGCUCUUCGAUUCAGCGGCGGACGGGUGAGUAAUGCCUAGGAAUCUGCCCAGUAGUGGGGGACAACGUUUCGAGAGGAACGCUAAUACCGCAUACGUCCUACGGGAGAAAGUGGGGGAUCUUCGAACCUCACGCUAUUGGAUGAGCCUAGGUCGGAUUAGCUAGUUGGUAGGGUAAAGGCCUACCAAGGCGACGAUCCGUAACUGGUCUGAGAGGAUGAUCAGUCACACUGGAACUGAGACACGGUCCAGACUCCUACGGGAGGCAGCAGUGGGGAAUAUUGGAAAAUGGGCGCAAGCCUGAUCCAGCCAUGCCGCGUGUGUGAAGAAGGCCCUCGGGUCGUAAAGCACUUUAAGUUGGGAGGAAGGGCUUACAGCGAAUACCUGUGAGUUUUGACGUUACCGACAGAAUAAGCACCGGCUAACUUCGUGCCAGCAGCCGCCGUAA
RNAcentral lists this ribosomal RNA (500 nucleotides) under uncultured bacterium. Its description in RNAcentral is "partial 16S ribosomal RNA". It matches the Rfam family "Bacterial small subunit ribosomal RNA", at positions 30 to 523 of the family's 1533-position model. The record is from RNAcentral.